RNAcentral lists this signal recognition particle RNA (303 nucleotides) under Nicotiana attenuata. Its description in RNAcentral is "SRP RNA Plant_SRP". It matches the Rfam family "Plant signal recognition particle RNA". Lineage: Eukaryota; Viridiplantae; Streptophyta; Magnoliopsida; Solanales; Solanaceae. The record is from Rfam by way of RNAcentral.
GCCGAGCUCAGUAACGUGGGCUUGUAACCCAAGUGGGGGCAUUAAUGUGGUGGAAUAUUGGGCUGUCCCAGUAGGUUGGAUUUGGUGGGCUCAGAUCUGACCUGCCCUAUCCAAGCGCAGAGCUGUGUCACGUGGCCCAAGCGAAGGCAUGGGCUGCUUGACUCCUAAAGUGGGGUGGACUGUGUGAGGCUGGUUUCACAGAGCAACGAACAGCUCCCACUCUGAGCAGUGGAAGGAUAACGGGCCAGUGCUUUUCAAGUCCAGCAACGCCUGAUGGGCUACUCCAAUUAAACUACCAUUUUU